RNAcentral lists this ribosomal RNA (274 nucleotides) under uncultured bacterium. RNAcentral's name for it is "partial 16S ribosomal RNA". It matches the Rfam family "Bacterial small subunit ribosomal RNA", at positions 523 to 796 of the family's 1533-position model. The record is from RNAcentral.
AUACGGAGGGUGCAAGCGUUGUUCGGAAUCACUGGGCGUAAAGGGCGCGCAGGCGGUCCUGCAAGUCAGAUGUGAAAGCCCACGGCUCAACCGUGGAAGUGCAUUUGAAACUGCAGGACUUGAGUAUCAGAGGGGAAAGUGGAAUUCCCGGUGUAGAGGUGAAAUUCGUAGAUAUCGGGAGGAAUACCGGUGGCGAAGGCGACUUUCUGGCUGAAUACUGACGCUGAGGCGCGAAAGCGUGGGGAGCAAACAGGAUUAGAUACCCUAGUAGUCC